GGCGGAUGUAGCCAAGUGGAUCAAGGCAGUGGAUUUGUGAAU
Molecule: transfer RNA, 42 nt
Filed under: Artemisia absinthium
Lineage: Eukaryota; Viridiplantae; Streptophyta; Magnoliopsida; Asterales; Asteraceae
Also listed under: 29 other names
Description: partial tRNA-His
Source: RNAcentral